This 72-nucleotide transfer RNA is filed under the name Synechococcaceae bacterium WB6_1A_059. Its description in RNAcentral is "tRNA-Ile". It matches the Rfam family "tRNA". Rfam says of the family: Transfer RNA (tRNA) molecules are approximately 80 nucleotides in length. Their secondary structure includes four short double-helical elements and three loops (D, anti-codon, and T loops). Further hydrogen bonds mediate the characteristic L-shaped molecular structure. tRNAs have two regions of fundamental functional importance: the anti-codon, which is responsible for specific mRNA codon recognition, and the 3' end, to which the tRNAs corresponding amino acid is attached (by aminoacyl-tRNA synthetases). tRNAs cope with the degeneracy of the genetic code in two manners: having more than one tRNA (with a specific anti-codon) for a particular amino acid; and 'wobble' base-pairing, i.e. permitting non-standard base-pairing at the 3rd anti-codon position. The record is from RNAcentral. Lineage: Bacteria; Bacillati; Cyanobacteriota; Cyanophyceae; Synechococcales; Synechococcaceae.
GGUUAGCUCAGUUGGUAGAGCAGCAGACCGAUAAUCUGUUGGUCGCAGGUUCGAAUCCUGCACCUGGUACCA